CCGAAUAGGAAAGAAGCGCAUCUAAGUGUUUUGCAAGCAAGUAAACAUAGCACAUAAUAAUAAAUAUAGUAGACAAUCUGGGAUUCAACUGUCUUCUUAUUAAAGAUACAGAGUACAACACAGUUACAAACAAGGUAGUUCCGAUUCGGACUACAAAACAAGGGAAAAGCUAUGCUACCCGCUGCGGGCCCACGAUCACGACCACGGCUCAGUCUUCUGGAUAGUUCACGUAAAGGCGAUCGGUCUCCUCGUCGUACUGCCACGCCAGUUGGGUGCCAUCGGGAUCCUCUGCCUCUGGGGUACCUGUACCUGCUGGAAGUUUCGGAGGAAUCCGUGAGCCACGGGGACUCAGCAAUCUAAGGCCUUGGUGCCAUAACUAGUCAUGUUAUUGGGUAAGGAAGGGUGAAGUGUUUCAGGCUGCUGCAUCCUAAGUUUUGAAUAAGUGGCUAACUUACGCAAAGAAGAAGUGACGGUGUUCUAUGCUAUCGGUCGUGAGUACUUGAU
This 504-nucleotide long non-coding RNA is filed under the name Hordeum vulgare. RNAcentral describes it as "long non-coding RNA (HVUL_LNC001336)". Lineage: Eukaryota; Viridiplantae; Streptophyta; Magnoliopsida; Poales; Poaceae. The record is from RNAcentral.